This 253-nucleotide ribosomal RNA is filed under the name uncultured bacterium. RNAcentral describes it as "partial 16S ribosomal RNA". It matches the Rfam family "Bacterial small subunit ribosomal RNA", at positions 524 to 776 of the family's 1533-position model. The record is from RNAcentral.
UACGUAGGGGGCAAGCGUUGUCCGGAUUCAUUGGGCGUAAAGAGCGUGUGGGCGGCAAGGUAGGUCGGUUGUGAAAACUGGAGGCUCAACCUUCAGAGGUCGACCGAAACCAUCUGGCUAGAGUCCGGGAGAGGAGAGUGGAAUUCCUGGUGUAGCGGUGAAAUGCGCAGAUAUCAGGAAGAACACCCGUGGCGAAAGCGGCUCUCUGGAACGGUACUGACGCUGAGACGCGAAAGCGUGGGGAGCGAACAGG